RNAcentral lists this ribosomal RNA (1408 nucleotides) under Klebsiella pneumoniae. RNAcentral describes it as "bacterial SSU rRNA". It matches the Rfam family "Bacterial small subunit ribosomal RNA". Lineage: Bacteria; Pseudomonadati; Pseudomonadota; Gammaproteobacteria; Enterobacterales; Enterobacteriaceae. The record is from RNAcentral.
CAGUCGAGCGGUAGCACAGAGAGCUUGCUCUCGGGUGACGAGCGGCGGACGGGUGAGUAAUGUCUGGGAAACUGCCUGAUGGAGGGGGAUAACUACUGGAAACGGUAGCUAAUACCGCAUAACGUCGCAAGACCAAAGUGGGGGACCUUCGGGCCUCAUGCCAUCAGAUGUGCCCAGAUGGGAUUAGCUAGUAGGUGGGGUAACGGCUCACCUAGGCGACGAUCCCUAGCUGGUCUGAGAGGAUGACCAGCCACACUGGAACUGAGACACGGUCCAGACUCCUACGGGAGGCAGCAGUGGGGAAUAUUGCACAAUGGGCGCAAGCCUGAUGCAGCCAUGCCGCGUGUGUGAAGAAGGCCUUCGGGUUGUAAAGCACUUUCAGCGGCCUGGAAGGCGAUAAGGUUAAUAACCUUGUCGAUUGACGUUACCCGCAGAAGAAGCACCGGCUAACUCCGUGCCAGCAGCCGCGGUAAUACGGAGGGUGCAAGCGUUAAUCGGAAUUACUGGGCGUAAAGCGCACGCAGGCGGUCUGUCAAGUCGGAUGUGAAAUCCCCGGGCUCAACCUGGGAACUGCAUUCGAAACUGGCAGGCUAGAGUCUUGUAGAGGGGGGUAGAAUUCCAGGUGUAGCGGUGAAAUGCGUAGAGAUCUGGAGGAAUACCGGUGGCGAAGGCGGCCCCCUGGACAAAGACUGACGCUCAGGCGCGAAAGCGUGGGGAGCAAACAGGAUUAGAUACCCUGGUAGUCCACGCCGUAAACGAUGUCGAUUUGGAGGUUGUGCCCUUGAGGCGUGGCUUCCGGAGCUAACGCGUUAAAUCGACCGCCUGGGGAGUACGGCCGCAAGGUUAAAACUCAAAUGAAUUGACGGGGGCCCGCACAAGCGGUGGAGCAUGUGGUUUAAUUCGAUGCAACGCGAAGAACCUUACCUGGUCUUGACAUCCACAGAACUUAGCAGAGAUGCUUUGGUGCCUUCGGGAACUGUGAGACAGGUGCUGCAUGGCUGUCGUCAGCUCGUGUUGUGAAAUGUUGGGUUAAGUCCCGCAACGAGCGCAACCCUUAUCCUUUGUUGCCAGCGGUCAGGCCGGGAACUCAAAGGAGACUGCCAGUGAUAAACUGGAGGAAGGUGGGGAUGACGUCAAGUCAUCAUGGCCCUUACGACCAGGGCUACACACGUGCUACAAUGGCAUAUACAAAGAGAAGCGACCUCGCGAGAGCAAGCGGACCUCAUAAAGUAUGUCGUAGUCCGGAUUGGAGUCUGCAACUCGACUCCAUGAAGUCGGAAUCGCUAGUAAUCGUAGAUCAGAAUGCUACGGUGAAUACGUUCCCGGGCCUUGUACACACCGCCCGUCACACCAUGGGAGUGGGUUGCAAAAGAAGUAGGUAGCUUAACCUUCGGGAGGGCGCUAUAGC